ACAUGCGCAGUAGACAAGUGUAGAUCAAUGAUGAAGACAUUAACAGUUGACCUUGUUGUUACAUCUUUAUGUCUUUUUGAAGCACUUCUCUUGGCUUACUGUGGUCAAGAGAUACCUCUCAGCAAUAAUCAAGUUCCUGGUUGCUACAGUACUAACGAUACUGCUGUGUUUGCGUGUACUGUAAUGGAUUCUAGUCACUUUUAUGGAACAGACUGGAGUGGUACUGUCUUCAACUGCCCCUCAGCAAACUCAAUCAAGGGCACAGAAGUGAAUGGUUCAUUGUAUACAUCAGUGCUUACUAUAGCGCCAGUUACCCCAGACAUGAAUGGGCAAACCAUCAUCUGUUCAGUUUCAGGGAUUACAGUGAUUGGUACAG
This is a long non-coding RNA of Halichondria panicea, 376 nucleotides long. RefSeq lists it as uncharacterized. The transcript has 3 exons. The record is from RefSeq and is a predicted model, not a curated record. NCBI's taxonomy places the organism in Eukaryota, Metazoa, Porifera, Demospongiae, Suberitida, Halichondriidae.